RNAcentral lists this ribosomal RNA (433 nucleotides) under uncultured bacterium. RNAcentral's name for it is "partial 16S ribosomal RNA". It matches the Rfam family "Bacterial small subunit ribosomal RNA", at positions 29 to 507 of the family's 1533-position model. The record is from RNAcentral.
AACGAACGCUGGCGGCAUGCCUAACACAUGCAAGUCGAACGAGACCUUCGGGUCUAGUGGCGCACGGGUGCGUAACGCGUGGGAACCUGCCCUUAGGUUCGGAAUAACUCCCCGAAAGGGGUGCUAAUACCGGAUAAUGUCUUCGGACCAAAGAUUUAUCGCCUUUGGAUGGGCCCGCGUUGGAUUAGCUAGUUGGUAGGGUAAAAGCCUGCCAAGGCGACGAUCCAUAGCUGGUCUGAGAGGAUGAUCAGCCACACUGGGACUGAGACACGGCCCAGACUCCUACGGGAUGCAGCAGUGGGGAAUAUUGGACAAUGGGCGAAGGCCUGAUCCAGCAAUGCCGCGUGAGUGAUGAAGGCCUUAGGGUUGUAAAGCUCUUUUACCCGGGAUGAUAAUGACAGUACCGGGAGAAUAAGCUCCGGCUAACUCCGUG